Molecule: long non-coding RNA, 438 nt
Organism: Wasmannia auropunctata (little fire ant)
Lineage: Eukaryota; Metazoa; Arthropoda; Insecta; Hymenoptera; Formicidae
Exons: 3
Source: RefSeq, a predicted model, not a curated record
CUCUGAGACUAAAAAGAUAUUUUGCCCUAUAUCUUCUCUAAAUUUGACAACGACAGUAUCAUUAUAUUAAUUAUUAAUUUCAGGUACGCGAGUAUUAUAGAAAAGUCCUUUCGCGACUUCCUUCUCUUACAAUUAUUGGGAUACUGGGUCAGCUUAGUUUUACAGGGACGCGAACUUAUUUUGUACGUUCGACACAGCAACAUCCAUGGCAGUGUUACGUGCAUCUUAUACGUGCUCACGAUUAUGUACUACAUUUUCAUAUAUUGCUACGUUAGCGAGUGCAUCAUCGAGAGGAGCGAAAAUAUUGCAACGAUAGCGCAUGACCUGGAAUGGCUAAGUUUCCCGCGGGAUACUAAUCUGCCUAUCAUAGUAGCACGCGCAAGAAUACCCUGCAAGCUUACCGCAGGAAGAUUUCUUACCUUAUCCUUCCACUGCUAC